Long non-coding RNA from Sitophilus oryzae (rice weevil), 809 nucleotides. RefSeq lists it as uncharacterized. The transcript is spliced from 2 exons. The record is from RefSeq and is a predicted model, not a curated record. Lineage: Eukaryota; Metazoa; Arthropoda; Insecta; Coleoptera; Curculionidae.
CGAACUGUUGUCCUCUCCGUGAGACAAAGUUUCGUACUUACAGAGAAUGCCCUUCUCUUCGUGAGAGGGAUUCCUAUUAUAUGAGAUUCUAGAUCUCGCAAUCAACAGAGUACUAUAAAUGCCAAAGUUUUUUUUAUCUCCCAGCAAUGAAAUAAGGUAUGAAACAAAAUUUUGUACUUUUAGAAAAUACCUAUCUCUGGAAUGGAUUUCUUUUUUUUAUGAGAUUUUAGAUCUCACUCUCAAGAGAAUAUUAUUUAUAUAUAUUUAGGUGCCAAAUGUUUGUAUCUCCUAGUGAGACAAAAAUUCGUACUUUUAGAGAAUGCCCAUCUCCAUGUGGGAGGGAUUUCUUUUAUACGUUAUAGAUAGCCUUAUUGAAAAAUUAAUUACACGUAUUACAUGUAAAACGAAUAUUGGAUGGAAAUAAAUAGAAGUACAUCCCGAAAUGUGGGGAUUAGAGGAAAGGAGAAAACAAAGGGAUGAGGAAUAUUGUAUAAACACGGACUUUUCUUCUCCCAGUGUUCUUUUCAUAGCGAGACAAAGAUCGAACACAAGGUCAGCAACUAGGAAGAGGAAAAUAACCAAAUCUAGCGAUUUGUGCAGUUUGUUGGGGGAAGGGCAAUCCAAAGAGACUACAGAACAUUCGACUCUUCGAUGAUGAUACAUUCUUCUUCGGGAGACGAAUUCAGUCUUAGCCAAUGAUCUGGCUUCAGCACAGAUCCAACUUUUAUAUCUGAGAAAAUAUUUUAACUCCCUAAUUUACCAAGGAGCCAUGGCAUGUCGCCUAUCCUCUCCUGUGUCAUAAUUGUUAA